UGGGGAAUAUUGGACAAUGGGGGCAACCCUGAUCCAGCAAUGCCGCGUGUGUGAAGAAGGUCUUCGGAUUGUAAAGCACUUUCGACGGGGACGAUGAUGACGGUACCCGUAGAAGAAGCCCCGGCUAACUUCGUGCCAGCAGCCGCGGUAAUACGAAGGGGGCUAGCGUUGCUCGGAAUGACUGGGCGUAAAGGGCGUGUAGGCGGUUUACACAGUCAGAUGUGAAAUCCCCGGGCCUUAACCUGGGAGCUGCAUUUGAUACGUGUAGACUAGAGUGUGAGAGAGGGUUGUGGAAUUCCCAGUGUAGAGGUGAAAUUCGUAGAUAUUGGGAAGAACACCGGUGGCGAAGGCGGCAACCUGGCUCAUUACUGACGCUGAGGCGCGAAAGCGUGGGAGCAAACA
This 402-nucleotide ribosomal RNA is filed under the name uncultured Acetobacter sp. RNAcentral describes it as "bacterial SSU rRNA". It matches the Rfam family "Bacterial small subunit ribosomal RNA", at positions 355 to 774 of the family's 1533-position model. Lineage: Bacteria; Pseudomonadati; Pseudomonadota; Alphaproteobacteria; Acetobacterales; Acetobacteraceae. The record is from RNAcentral.